CUCCCAACAGGGGGAGCAUGACGCCUUUCAAGGAGGUCCUCAACACUCUCCCAAAAGAGCUGAGCAGUGCCAGUUAACUUCAAACUGGCAAAUUGUACCCUCCGAUCUUCCGGGACCCCAUACCAUGCAAAGAAGCGAUCCAUAUCUCUAACCCAUUGAUUGAAGGCACUAGGAUCUAGACAGCCGUCAAACGUAGGGGCAUCCAACUUAAUAUUUCGAAAGAGGCGCUCUUCGUGGCGAGGGGGAGAUUGUGUACCAUGACGGUAAUAUCCCCGCUCUCGUUCCCAAGCCUGAUUCCCUUCCCUACGACCAUGUCGGGCGUGGUGUCGACCACCUUGUGGGCGACGAUGAGGCCUAUUAAUGGAAGCCUCAGAGUUCUCAGCCUCAGUCGAAUAUGGGAGUGGGUCAAGAGUAUUCAACCUAGCGGUUAGGGCUCUAUUCUCUUCACGAGUAGCGGCUACCUCAGUUUGGACAGCUGUUAGUUGAUUUUGUAAUUGUGCAAGCUGUCUGGUGAGGGCCUCAAUUUGGGCGGGGUCCAUGGUUAGGUUACUAGAGCUAGAGGCAGUAACGCGACCACUACGCAAUUGCAUACACGGUAACACGACUACGUAAAGUGCACCACUGAGAUCAAUAAUCAACAAUCAACUAGUGCCAACCGAAAAAUUAGUUAUUGAAAUUAUUAUUAUUAUUAUUUAUUUAUUUAUGUAUUUAUUAUGUUAUUUUGUCAAUUUAAAGGUUGGGGUUACUUAUGGCUCGAUCGCAAGCUAAUACUACUAAUGCUAAUAAAAUAGAAAAGCAAAUGUCCAAAUUCUAGAUCUAGUCAUGUAGGGUAAACGAUUGAGUAGUGGAAUUUAGUUCGUGAAAUAUAAUCGAAUAGGUUUAAGGCAGUAUUAUCAAAGGGCUAGUACAUAUCAAUGAAAUUUAGUUCGUGAAAUACAAUCAAACAGGUUGAAGGCAAUAUUAUCAAAUGGUCAGCACACAACGAAUUAAUUGAUGCAAUUCUAAAAUAAAGAAAUAGCGUCAACUAAAAUAAAUAGGAUCAGGAACUCCCUGAGUACUGUUGGUUUGAGUCGUCCCAGCGUCGAAUGUCUCCACGUUCUGAACUCCUAAGCCCUGAGAUGCCAAGAUAAAAUUCCGUGCUCGUCGAGGUGCGGUACUGAACAGUCAACUAAAAUGAACCUGUAAAUGAUGUCAGAAAAUUUAAAAUUCACGAUACUUUUUUUUUUUUUUUUUUUUUUAAUACAAACUCAGAAUAACAAAAUAAUAAAUGAGCCCAUUUUACAAAUUUGGGCCUAAAUUACAAUCAAAAUCUCAAUCAAGCCCAAGCCCAAUUAAUAAUUAAUAACCAACCCACUCAAUUAAUAAAUCAAUUAAUUAACCCAACCCAACAAUAAAAUAAAACCCAUACAACGAUCACUCAACCCGUAAACAACUCUGUUUACACUCCAAGCCAAGACAGGGGUCGACCGGCGGCGAGGUGGGCGAC
Molecule: long non-coding RNA, 1486 nt
Filed under: Olea europaea subsp. europaea
Lineage: Eukaryota; Viridiplantae; Streptophyta; Magnoliopsida; Lamiales; Oleaceae
Source: RNAcentral